GAUGAACGCUAGCGGCAGGCUUAAUACGUGCAAGUCGAGGGGCAUCAAGGUACACGAAAGUGUAUUGUUGGCGACCGGCGGACGGGUGAGUAAUAGGUAGGUAACCUACCUCAUACUGAGGCAUAGCUGGGAGAAAUUCCAGGUAAUUCCUCAUGAGGUUAUAUGACACAUGUGAUAUAAUCAAAGGUAUCGCAAGGUACUGGUAUGAGAUGGGCUUACUGACCAUUAGCUAGUUGGUGAGAUAAGAGCUCACCAAGGCGAAGAUGGUUAGGGGUUUUGAGAGAGAGAUCCCCCACAUUGGAACUGAGAUACGGUCCAGACUCCUACGAGAGGCAGCAGUAGGGAAUAUUGGGCAAUGGACGGAAGCCUGACCCAGCCAUGCCGCGUGAAGGAAGACGGCCUUAUGGGUUGUAAACUUCUUUACUAUGCGACUAACUAGAUUUACGAGAUAAUUCUAUAGAAUGUAGCAUAGCAAAAAGCAACCGG
This 486-nucleotide ribosomal RNA is filed under the name uncultured bacterium. RNAcentral's name for it is "bacterial SSU rRNA". It matches the Rfam family "Bacterial small subunit ribosomal RNA", at positions 28 to 497 of the family's 1533-position model. The record is from RNAcentral.